RNAcentral lists this ribosomal RNA (397 nucleotides) under uncultured Limnohabitans sp. Its description in RNAcentral is "bacterial SSU rRNA". It matches the Rfam family "Bacterial small subunit ribosomal RNA", at positions 1 to 408 of the family's 1533-position model. The record is from RNAcentral. Lineage: Bacteria; Pseudomonadati; Pseudomonadota; Betaproteobacteria; Burkholderiales; Comamonadaceae.
CGACGAGUUUGAUCCUGGCUCAGGAUGAACGCUGGCGGAAUGCUUUACACAUGCAAGCCGAACGGUAGAGGGGGCAACCCCUUGAGAGUGGCGAACGGGUGAGUAAUAUAUCGGAACGUGCCCAGUCGUGGGGGAUAACGUAGUGAAAAUUACGCUAAUACCGCAUACGAUCUAAGGAUGAAAGCGGGGGAUCGCAAGACCUCGCGCGACUGGAGCGGCCGAUAUCAGAUUAGGUAGUUGGUAGGGUAAAGGCCUACCAAGCCAACGAUCUGUAGCUGGUCUGAGAGGACGACCAGCCACACUGGAACUGAGACAUGGUCCAGACUCCUACGGGAGCAGCAGUGGGGAAUUUUGGACAAUGGGCGAAAGCCUGAUCCAGCCAUUCCCGCGUGCAGGA